AGAGCGUGCAUGCGUGGGUCCCCGGGAUCUCGUGAAAAGAAGAAGGAAGGAAGAGGAUCGCUCGCCUGCAUUAACCCCUGGCUGGGGUUUUAGGAUUGGUUGGACCCACCCCAGAGAACAUGAGACCAAAUCCACAAAUGGUAUUAGUCCCUUCCCUCAAGAGAUUCUAAAGAGGCCAAAAUUCCAGCAUGACAGGAAACAAAUGUCUGCUCAUUUGUAAUAACUGCACAAAUACACAAAACCCCUUGCUUCAGAACCUGCAACUGCCUAAACUUACCAAUUUGGUUCAGACAAAUA
Molecule: long non-coding RNA, 297 nt
Organism: Xenopus tropicalis (tropical clawed frog)
Lineage: Eukaryota; Metazoa; Chordata; Amphibia; Anura; Pipidae
Exons: 3
Source: RefSeq, a predicted model, not a curated record